CUUAGCAGUGCCCAGCUACUUUUAGUGGCAGGUAUAGCCCCUAAGACCUUAAAGAUUGCUUCACAUAAAUCUGGCUGUGGAGUGUAGGCAAGUCUCUGUAUUGAGUGCUGAAGAGAUUUUUACCCACAGGCUAUUUUUUGGGUCUCUGUGGUAUUUUGUUUUGAGCCACUUCUCUAUGCCCAAGCUCUGCACCCUAUCUCCAUGUUUCCUCAUCCUCCUGGGGUCCCCAGUCUUGAUGUUCUUACAGGUAGGACCAGCCGCUGAGAACAUAAAGAUUGCCUAGAAGAGGUCUGGGUGUGGAAUGUGUAAAAAUUAAAUUAUAAUAUAUAAUAAUAAAAUAUAUUUUAUGAGGUUUAUUAAGGAUCAUUAAAAAUCAAGGAAUAAAGAAGAUACAAAAUAAAAGCACAUGCCCAUUGUUGAGAAGACCAUUUAAAAUCCCCUUGCUUAGCUUACCUCUAUACUUGCUGCAUCAUGCAAGAAGAAAGGAUGUAGGUGGCAUUAUUGCCAGUUAAAUACCAAUAACAUGAUCUUGCCAAUGUGGAGACACAAGAGAGAUUAUAGGGAAUUCUGAGAAAUACCAAGGACUUCAGUGGAAUGAAGUCUAGUUUUCAAAUUCUCCAUUUAUACAAAUAUAAGCAAGACUCUAUUGCAUGCUGGAGAGGUUUUUGUCUGAAGGUUUUUUUUUUUUGGUUCUCUGUGACAUUUUGCUGCGAGCCCCCCCUCCCUGCUCAAGCUCCACAUGCUAUCUCAAUGUAUUCUCAGCCUUCCAGUGUUCUGAGUCUAUCUUCUCUUACAGAUAAGUCUGUGUUGACCUAAGCCAGCCUCCCUCCUAGAACUUAGAAGUUUGUCUGAUGCUCACUUGGACUCUGGAAAGGCACUGUGUCUUGAUGGGCAGAGAGGAGAAAAUCUCUGCUUCUACUCUGGAGCCAUCUUCCUAAUGGCUUGUUUUAAGGAAGUCUGGUCUUCAACUACUGUAUGUAUGGGAAGCAUAUCUUCAGCAGUUCCUAUGCUGUUCUCAUACCAAGAUGGGAAAACUGAGUUCCAAAGAUAUUCAGUGCCUUCCCCAAGGUCACACAAGUAACAAAUGGCAUGAUUAGGAUUUUAAAUUCUACAACUCGACCUCCAAAACCAGCACCUUUUCCUCCACAUUGAACUUCAACAUAUUGCUUCAAGUCUUUCAUUUUUUCUCAGGGAGCUGGGCUUUGCAAUGUUUUUCUAUGUUUCUACUGCCAAUAAAAAAUGCAUGUUUUAAACAAUUAACUAUUAUAGGCACAAUUAAAUAAAAGUAUAAGCCUUUAAUUUUGCAGGUUUUCCUCAUUAUUAUAGUCACUGAGUUGGACACUAACUCUGAUGCUCAACUGGGCACUAAGACUGAUGCAUUUUGUAAAUUAAUAGCUUGGAGACAGUUUUGAGAAUCAA
Molecule: long non-coding RNA, 1419 nt
Organism: Monodelphis domestica (gray short-tailed opossum)
Lineage: Eukaryota; Metazoa; Chordata; Mammalia; Didelphimorphia; Didelphidae
Source: RefSeq, a predicted model, not a curated record